This 491-nucleotide ribosomal RNA is filed under the name uncultured bacterium. RNAcentral describes it as "partial 16S ribosomal RNA". It matches the Rfam family "Bacterial small subunit ribosomal RNA", at positions 29 to 506 of the family's 1533-position model. The record is from RNAcentral.
AGUGAACGCUGGCGGUAGGCCUAACACAUGCAAGUCGAACGGCAGCACAGUAAGAGCUUGCUCUUACGGGUGGCGAGUGGCGGACGGGUGAGGAAUACAUCGGAAUCUACUUUUUCGUGGGCGAUAACGUAGGGAAACUUACGCUAAUACCGCAUACGACCUACGGGUGAAAGCAGGGGAUCUUCGGACCUUGCGCGAUUGAAUGAGCCGAUGUCGGAUUAGCUAGUUGGCGGGGUAAAGGCCCACCAAGGCGACGAUCCGUAGCUGGUCUGAGAGGAUGAUCAGCCACAAUGGAAGUGAGACACGGGCCAAACCCGUAGGGGGGGAAGCAGUGGGGAAUAUUGGAAAAGGGGGGAAAGCCUGAUCCAGCCAACCCGGGGGGGGAAAGAAGGCUUUGGGGUUGUAAAGCCCUUUUGUUGGGAAAAAAAAGCAGCAGGUUAAAACCCCGCGGUUUUGAGGGAACCAAAAAAAAAAACACCGGCUAACUUGGU